Lonchura striata (white-rumped munia) is the source of this 214-nucleotide non-coding RNA. The record is from RefSeq and is a predicted model, not a curated record. Lineage: Eukaryota; Metazoa; Chordata; Aves; Passeriformes; Estrildidae.
CCUUCAUCCCAGUGAUGGAAUGGCUGCAGCCAGACGUGCCAGGGAGCCCUGAGCCCGUGAUGUGACAGCCCAACCAGACUUUGAAACCACAUCUCUGGAGGUGUCACAGACAGCUCUGAGCAGACUGCAAGGUGCCCUUAAUGAGCUGGCAUUAUGGAACUGGGAUUGCUGGAUCACCCUAAAAAAAUUCAGAGUACUGAGGUCUCCACAUAGA